UGGGGAAUUUUGGACAAUGGGCGAAAGCCUGAUCCAGCAAUGCCGCGUGUGUGAAGAAGGCCUUCGGGUUGUAAAGCACUUUUGUCCGGAAAGAAAUCCUUGGCUCUAAUACAGUCGGGGGAUGACGGUACCGGAAGAAUAAGCACCGGCUAACUACGUGCCAGCAGCCGCGGUAAUACGUAGGGUGCAAGCGUUAAUCGGAAUUACUGGGCGUAAAGCGUGCGCAGGCGGUUUGCUAAGACCGAUGUGAAAUCCCCGGGCUCAACCUGGGAACUGCAUUGGUGACUGGCAGGCUAGAGUAUGGCAGAGGGGGGUAGAAUUCCACGUGUAGCAGUGAAAUGCGUAGAGAUGUGGAGGAAUACCGAUGGCGAAGGCAGCCCCCUGGGCCAAUACUGACGCUCAUGCACGAAAGCGUGGGGAGCAAACAGGAUUAGAUACCCUGGUAGUCCACGCCCUAAACGAUGUCAACUGUUGUGGGGAUUCAUUCCUUAGUAACGUAGCUAACGCGUGAAGUUGACCGCCUGGGGAGUACGGUCGCAAGAUUAAAACUCAAAGGAAUUGACGGGGUCAUAGCUGUUUCCU
Molecule: ribosomal RNA, 582 nt
Filed under: uncultured bacterium
Lineage: Bacteria
Description: partial 16S ribosomal RNA
Rfam family: Bacterial small subunit ribosomal RNA
Source: RNAcentral